RNAcentral lists this ribosomal RNA (34 nucleotides) under Aspergillus calidoustus. RNAcentral's name for it is "partial 18S ribosomal RNA". The record is from RNAcentral. Lineage: Eukaryota; Fungi; Ascomycota; Eurotiomycetes; Eurotiales; Aspergillaceae.
UUAUUGAUAUGCUUAAGUUCAGCGGGUAUCCCUA